UACGAAGGGGGCUAGCGUUGCUCGGAAUCACUGGGCGUAAAGCGCACGUAGGCGGAUUGCUAAGUCAGGGGUGAAAUCCUGGAGCUCAACUCCAGAACUGCCUUUGAUACUGGCGAUCUUGAGUCCGGGAGAGGAGAGUGGAAUUCCUGGUGUAGCGGUGAAAUGCGCAGAUAUCAGGAAGAACACCCGUGGCGAAGGCGGCUCUCUGGAACGCAACUGACGCUGAGACGCGAAAGCGUGGGGAGCAAACAGG
This 253-nucleotide ribosomal RNA is filed under the name uncultured bacterium. RNAcentral's name for it is "partial 16S ribosomal RNA". It matches the Rfam family "Bacterial small subunit ribosomal RNA", at positions 524 to 776 of the family's 1533-position model. The record is from RNAcentral.